Molecule: unclassified non-coding RNA, 276 nt
Organism: Vulpes vulpes (red fox)
Lineage: Eukaryota; Metazoa; Chordata; Mammalia; Carnivora; Canidae
Rfam family: Metazoan signal recognition particle RNA
About the family: The signal recognition particle (SRP) is a universally conserved ribonucleoprotein. It is involved in the co-translational targeting of proteins to membranes.
Source: Ensembl
GCUGGGUGUAGUGGUGCCUGCCUGUAGUCCUCGCUACUCAGGAAACUGAGGCAGGAGGAUUGCUUGAGCCCAGGAGUUCUGGGCUGUAAUGUGCGUGCUGAUUGGGUAUUGGCAUCAAUCUGGUGACCUCCCGGGAGUGGGGGACCACCAGGUUGCCAAAGGAGGGGUGAACUGGCCCAGGUGGGAAACGGAGCAAGUCAAAACUCCCAUGCUGAUCAGAAAGCAGGAUACAGGUUUUAUUCUGAGGCUUAACCCUCCAACAAAAAACGUUACUCU